UGCAGUCGAGGGGUAGAGUUCUUCGGAGCUUGAGACCGGCGCACGGGUGCGUAACGCGUAUGCAAUCUACCUUUUACAGAGGGAUAGCCCAGAGAAAUUUGGAUUAAUACCUCAUAGUAUAAUUGAAUGGCAUCAUUUAAUUAUUAAAGUCACAACGGUAAAAGAUGAGCAUGCGUCCCAUUAGCUAGUUGGUAAGGUAACGGCUUACCAAGGCUACGAUGGGUAGGGGUCCUGAGAGGGAGAUCCCCCACACUG
This 255-nucleotide ribosomal RNA is filed under the name Flavobacterium sp. 77_b_2_1. RNAcentral's name for it is "partial 16S ribosomal RNA". It matches the Rfam family "Bacterial small subunit ribosomal RNA", at positions 60 to 315 of the family's 1533-position model. The record is from RNAcentral. Lineage: Bacteria; Pseudomonadati; Bacteroidota; Flavobacteriia; Flavobacteriales; Flavobacteriaceae.